GCUAAACAAAAUGAAAAUCCAAUUCUCAUUUAAAGAGACAAAACAAUUUUGUUCUCAACCUAAUUUGGGCCAUAAAGCAAUUAACCUCAACUUUUGGGCUAUAUUGCAAAACUUUUGGGGUCACUUUGUAAAGACACAAAAGUCCACUACUUCAUGUAAUUACAAUAGAACCCAAAAUUUAAUCAAUGUAAAAACUUCAUUAAAGGAGCAAAACAAUUUGUCCUUUAGCGUUUUUGGACCUAAACGUAAAAACGUA
RNAcentral lists this long non-coding RNA (256 nucleotides) under Malus domestica (apple). Its description in RNAcentral is "long non-coding RNA (MDOM_LNC013222)". Lineage: Eukaryota; Viridiplantae; Streptophyta; Magnoliopsida; Rosales; Rosaceae. The record is from RNAcentral.